RNAcentral lists this long non-coding RNA (3899 nucleotides) under Lynx pardinus (Iberian lynx). The record is from RNAcentral. Lineage: Eukaryota; Metazoa; Chordata; Mammalia; Carnivora; Felidae.
CGGCCUCCGAAGGCUGUUAGUCCACGGCUGUGCUGGACCAGGCGGCGCCGAGGGCAAGCUGCCGGGGACAGGGGGCGUGGGCACAAGCAGGAAGCCGGGAGGACGGACCGGCCCUGGCGACGUCCUGCAGAAGAAGUUGGCACCGUCCAUCGCAGGACCGCACACCUGCCUCCCACCAGCGAGGUGAGCUAGCAGGUGUGCAAUAGCGGAUGGGCCGCAGCCACACCUGGGGCCCCGCCCGGACCGCUGCGGCUUCACCCUCCGUCCGCCAAACCUCAGCGAGAUGCCUCUUGUGAUCCAGUUAGCAAACCCCGUGGGAAAGGGGUUGGGAGGGGGGAGGAGGGAUGGUAGUUAAGGCUAACUUAGCUGACACGUCACAAAGCCACCACAGUACCUGAAACUAAAUUGGGGACACUGUUAGAAGGGCUGCCAAAAGUAUCAUCUACAAAGGCCCCUGAAGAGCUUUACACGGAUUCUAAGAUAAGAUCCACCUUGCUGUGAAAGAUCACUCUCGGUUUCCGCUGCAGAAAGGGCAGGCUAGGUCGUUAUGACCAACCCUUCCGCAACAAGGGAGUGAAGCAUUCCAGAAAGGUGAACUUUUCCCCCAGUGAGCAUCUUUCUAUUUGGAAGAGGUAUUAGAAAGUUCCGCUACUGGGGCAUCUGGGUGCUUCAGUUGAGCAUCCAACUUCGGCUCAGGUCAUGAUGGUGAGUUCGAGCCCCACAUCGGCUCACUGCUAUCAGCAGAGGCUGCUUCAGAGUCUCUGUCCCUCCCUCUGCCCCUCCCCCGCUCGCACUCUGUCAAAAAUAAAACAUUACAAAAAUUAUAAAAAACAAAACAAAAACCUCAGCUUCUGAGCAAAGCUCCCAAGAGACCAAAGCCCCAAGGGAUUAAGUUAUUAUUCUGACAUCCCUGCAGAGACAGAGGGUCUAGUAAAGCCCCGGGUUUUGGGUUGGAGCUCCGUAAUGCCUUACUCUAGGACAAGAGUGACCUGGAGGAAUGCCAAACCUCAUGGGGCCUGAAGCUCAGCCUCAGACCGCAGCCGUGUGAGCGGGGUGCUGUGUUUUUGGCUCCCAGCCAGAAGUGGAGGUCAAUCCUUUCCAGAGAAGGAAGAAAAUACCAUCUUAGGUCUCCAGUUAUCUUCAUGGUUUUAGAAUGUGUAACAUACGGGGCACCUGGGUGGCUCGGUCGGCUCAGGUCAUGAUUUCACGGUUUGUGGGUUUGAGCCCUGUAUGGGGCUCUGCACUGACAGUGAGGAGCCUGCUUGGGAUUCUCUCUCUCCCUCUCUCUCUCUCUCUCUCUCUCUGCCCGUCUCCCCCAGAUGAAUAAAUAAACAUUAAAACGUAGAAAUAAAGUGUGUAAUGUUAGUCACACACCAGGCAACAUGAACACGUGAUCAAAUCCAAGAAAAACAGGAGAAAAAAGAAACUGACCUGUGGGUGGUCCAGAUAAUGAAAUUUGCAAGAAUACAGUUUGGUAAGGCUUAAUAUGUUCAAAGAAGUAAUGAUAUUGGAAAUUACAGCCAGGAAUCAAAUUGGAAUUCUGGAUCUGAAAAAAUACAAUAAUAGCUUAGAGCUGAAGAGGGUGUUGGUGAAGCAGAAAGUAGGUUAGAAGACCACAUCCAUCAACAGGCAGGGGGAGUAGGGUCGGCACAGGGGAUUCCACGAGCAAGUCUAACACACGGAGACUCUGGCCAACUCAGCACCUCCGUCCUGCCCUCGGAGUGCCUCCUCUCCUGCCCUGGAUACUUUUCUGUGUGGUUACAGGGGCUCUUGCAGGAGGCUUGGAAACGGAGGAAGACGGGCUAUUAGUUUCUGGAGGCACACGCAACGCUAAGGGCAGGUGAGAGGUUCAGAGCAGAUUCCCAGAUGACCCACCGUGGCAGGACGGGCAUAGUGUGGCGGUUACAGACGUGCCUGUCGGAAAGUGUAUGAAAAGUCUUUCUUUUGAUCUCACUCUUGAAUGAGGGUUAACUGGUAUAGAACUCCUCGUUGGCAGUUAUUUCGAGUCAGAAUUUUAAAGACACGGCUCUUUGGAAGCUCUUGCUGCUGACGAGAAGCUUGCUGUCCAUUGAAUUGCCAUUUCUGUGAGGGAAAUCUGUCUUUCCUUACUGUGUCCUUAAUGUCCUGACAUUUCACUACGAUAAUUGUCAAGUGUGGGUUGUUUCAGUGACGCUGCUUGGCACUUGGUGUGUUCUUCCUGUCUGAGAACAGAAAGGAUCUUCGAUCCUGGACAUUCCAGGCAUUUUGUCUUCACGUAAAUGUGGCCUGUGGUCUGGACCCCGACCUCGAUUCUCUUAUUCUGGGUCUCCUGUGAGGGGAUAGAUUGAAACCAGUCAGUCGUUCUCCAUGUCUCAAAACUGCUUUUCUUAAUUUUUACCUGUGCUCUCCACCGGGAAAUCUGUCUCCACUGGUGCCCACUUAGACUUUGUAUCAUGUACUUAGAUGGUUAUUUUUUUAUGACUUCAUGUCUCAUUUCUAAUUUUCUUUGUUCUACUGUUCUUAUUUUGUUUUUCCAGUUCUUGUUUCAUAAUCUCUUCCAAGUUUUUGUGGAUGUUUUCUCUUUAUCCAAUGUGAGAAUCCUAAACAUGGUUAUUUUAAAAUCUGCUCUAUUUUAGUUUUUAGGUUGCUGUAUUGUUUUCAUUUCAUCUGGGAUGAAUUCAUCUGCUGGUUGCUGAUCUUGUUAUCUUUCUUCUUAGAGUAACGUGCUUUGGAAUUGAGGCUGGCAGGCUCGUCGUAGACAAGGGGCUUGUGUUCUGUGUUCUCUGUCUGCUCACCUGUCUAUGUUUCUCCGUCCUGCAGGUGCCUCCACACAGCCUUUUGGGGCUCUGCAGCGCUGAUGUGUGUUACACUGGGGGCUCGGGGCUCUCGUGCAGCCACCCCCUGAGAAGUGCAGAAGUGUCCAAGUCCAUCCUCUGGGGGAUCCUCAGGUAACUGUUGCAGAGGUGAUUUUCUUUCUCAACUUCCUGUCGUAGAGGUGGGAGACUUGCCCUGGGUCCAAUUUUAGGUGAUGCUCUUGGCUGUUGUUCCCCCACUCCCUUUGGGCAGUUUUAGACUCUUCGACCCUCAGGGACCGCAUUUCCCAGCCACUUGCCUAUUUCUGGACCCAGAGCCCCACAGGUCCAAGGUCUCUAUCCUGCACCCUGUUCUGUGUCUUCCUUCCGCCUUUGGUCUGUGGAAGGGUUAGGGUUUUUAAUGCUUUCUUUUUAAACAUCUCUGUCGUGGCCGUGGAUGGAGGGAAUGGUGGAAGCGUCUGUGCGCGCGAACCGAGGGUGCCUGCUUGCCCAGAGGAAGUAAGUGUUUUAUGGACAAUGGACAAUAAGAGCAUUUUGUUCUGUUUUAGUUUUUCCUGUUUAAUUUCUUGGUAUGAAGAGGCUGUAAGUUAUGUUUGGUGGAUUCCUGGUAACUAACAUCCUUCUGUAUCAAAAGAAAAGCAAAAUAAAAAAUAUGUAUUUUUUAAAUGUUUAUCCAUUUUUGAGAGAGAGACAGAGUGCAAGUGGAGGCAGGGCAGAGAGAGAGGGAGGCACAGAAUCCGAAGCAGGUUCCAGGCUCUGAGCUGUCAGCACAGAGCCCAAUGCAGGGCCUGAACCCACGAACUGCGAGAUCAUGACCUGAGCCGAGGCCGGACGCUUAACCGACUGAGCCACCCAGGCGCCCCCAAGACAAAAUAUUUUUAAAACUUGAAAUCUACUUUCUAGAAAGUUUUUAAAAAAAGAGAAUAAGCAUUUCUAGGUAAGCUUCACAGACUUCAGAACGGCGGGGAGUUAUUUUCUGGAAAACGUUCCAGAUGCUUCUGAGCAGCUGGCGCCAUCUCUGCUCUGCCGGCCGCGCCGAGUUCUAAAUGCGGCGGUUGAAACAUAUCCUUCCUCAGAAGGCAGUGAGGCCGCAGAGGGAAGACGACC